GAUGAACGCUGGCGGCGUGCCUAAUACAUGCAAGUCGAGCGAACAGACGAGGAGCUUGCUCCUCUGACGUUAGCGGCGGACGGGUGAGUAACACGUGGAUAACCUACCUAUAAGACUGGGAUAACUUCGGGAAACCGGAGCUAAUACCGGAUAAUAUAUUGAACCGCAUGGUUCAAUAGUUAAAGACGGUUUUGCUGUCACUUAUAGAUGGAUCCGCGCCGCAUUAGCUAGUUGGUAAGGUAACGGCUUACCAAGGCGACGAUGCGUAGCCGACCUGAGAGGGUGAUCGGCCACACUGGAACUGAGACACGGUCCAGACUCCUACAGGAGGCAGCAGUAGGGAAUCUUCCGCAAUGGGCGAAAGCCUGACGGAGCAACGCCGCGUGAGUGAUGAAGGUCUUCGGAUCGUAAAACUCUGUUAUUAGGGAAGAACAAAUGUGUAAGUAACUAUGCACGUCUUGACGGUACCUAAUCAGAAAGCCACGGCUAACUACGUG
Molecule: ribosomal RNA, 497 nt
Filed under: uncultured bacterium
Lineage: Bacteria
Description: partial 16S ribosomal RNA
Rfam family: Bacterial small subunit ribosomal RNA
Source: RNAcentral